Molecule: non-coding RNA, 199 nt
Organism: Arabidopsis thaliana (thale cress)
Lineage: Eukaryota; Viridiplantae; Streptophyta; Magnoliopsida; Brassicales; Brassicaceae
Source: RefSeq
AGAGAGGGAGAUGUCAAUCUUACAAAGCCCAAAUUUCUCAGCGCUAUAAAGCCCAUUAAUUUCUUUAAGAUAGAAGGCUUUUCAAAGAUAAACAAUUUCUUUGCCAUACGUUGCAGUUUGGUUGUCUAACGAUAACUCUCGCCUCUCGGUUAAGUCCACUUAUUUGCCAUGUUGCAUUUUUGGGGAAUUAAGUGUGAUA